Molecule: unclassified non-coding RNA, 686 nt
Filed under: Hevea brasiliensis (rubber tree)
Lineage: Eukaryota; Viridiplantae; Streptophyta; Magnoliopsida; Malpighiales; Euphorbiaceae
Source: RNAcentral
GAUUAUUUUCUCCUCUGUCUCGAUCAUUCUUUUCAAAAUCGUCUUUCAUAGCUUUGGAUUUUUAGCUCAGUUUCCGACGGCGGAUAUUUGCUUUUCAUACCUCUCUGCACAUGGCGCCGUCGAACAAGAUCGACACGGCUCACCAGAUGUACAGAGACGGAAAGUAUGAGCAAGCGCUGGGCUUUUACACUGACGCGCUUUCCAUGGCCAAAACCAAGCCCCAGAAGAUCGCUUUGCAUAGUAACAGAGCUGCCUGUUUUUUGAAAUUGCACGAUUUCAAAAAGGCUGCUGAUGAAUGCACGUCCGUGCUGGAGCUUGAUCACAAGCACGCUGGAGCGUUGAUGCUGCGGGCGCAGACACUAGUCACCCUCAAGGAGUAUCACUCCGCCCUCUUUGAUGUCAACAGGCUUAUGGAGUUGAACCCUUCUUCGGAAGUUUAUCGAAAUCUUGAAGCUCGGUUGAGGACACAAUUGUCACUUGCUCCAAUACCUGAAUCUGAAGCUGAGUUGGAAGAAGAGGAAGAAAAAGAUGAAGCAGAACCAUUUAGACCUGAGGAAGAACAGCAAGACGGAGAAGAUGCAGCUAUAACAAUAGCAAGAACUAAUCAGCAAACUGAACCUUGUGCAGCUACUGUUAACACUGAACUUGUGCCUAGAAUUCCAACCAUCAACGGGUCUUCUGAAAUA